GGAGGGCCGGAAAUGUCGGAGCAGGGGCCCAGUCCACCCGAGGGGGACUUCCGCUUCCUCGUUGUCCUCUUUUCCUCGCCUGCUCUGCCUCUGAGGAUUCUGCUCUUCCCCAAAGGGGAAGCAUUCAGGAGAGGAUGGUCCCUGUGAUCCCAACAGCCAGGUGCCAGUUAUUACUUCCACAUCGAGGGGCUUAGGGGCAUGGCACCCCUGCAAUCUGGAAAAUCCACGUAAAAUUUUUUGGCCCUCCCUUCGUACCAGAGAAGA
This is a long non-coding RNA of Trichosurus vulpecula (common brushtail), 264 nucleotides long. RefSeq lists it as uncharacterized. The record is from RefSeq and is a predicted model, not a curated record. The transcript is spliced from 3 exons. NCBI's taxonomy places the organism in Eukaryota, Metazoa, Chordata, Mammalia, Diprotodontia, Phalangeridae.